UAAUUUCCUUUGGAAGCUGGAUGGGAC
Molecule: non-coding RNA, 27 nt
Filed under: Homo sapiens (human)
Lineage: Eukaryota; Metazoa; Chordata; Mammalia; Primates; Hominidae
Source: RNAcentral